Long non-coding RNA from Selaginella moellendorffii, 321 nucleotides. RefSeq lists it as uncharacterized. The record is from RefSeq and is a predicted model, not a curated record. The transcript has 2 exons. Lineage: Eukaryota; Viridiplantae; Streptophyta; Lycopodiopsida; Selaginellales; Selaginellaceae.
AAGUGCGCUGGAGAGGAGACUACUUUAGCUUCUUCCGGAUCAUCGCUAGGCGCCGGCGGCUCAUGAGUUGGAUCCCAAUUGCUGCCCAGUGCGCUGGAGCAAGCUCGAAAGUUCCAAGCCUCUAGGAUCAGCAGCAGCAGCAGCAGCAGCAGUAGCGUCGACAAAUCUUGGAGCAAGUAGCUCCAUUUCCAAAAACAGAUCAAAGAGGUACCUCUCUAUCCUUGGUUCUAGAUCAAAAUGCCAGGAAAAGGAGAGCUACUCUAGAAUGAAGAAUCAAGAAUGCCAGGGGCAAGGACACGACAAUUCCAAUAUCUCUCUCUC